Molecule: transfer RNA, 69 nt
Filed under: Ictidomys tridecemlineatus (thirteen-lined ground squirrel)
Lineage: Eukaryota; Metazoa; Chordata; Mammalia; Rodentia; Sciuridae
Also listed under: 1 other name
Description: Spermophilus tridecemlineatus (thirteen-lined ground squirrel) tRNA
Rfam family: tRNA
About the family: Transfer RNA (tRNA) molecules are approximately 80 nucleotides in length. Their secondary structure includes four short double-helical elements and three loops (D, anti-codon, and T loops).
Source: Rfam by way of RNAcentral
GGGGUUGUGGCUCAGUGGCAGAGCACUUACCUAGCAUGUGUGAGGCACUGGGUUCAAUUCUCAGCACCA